UACGUAGGGGGCAAGCGUUGUCCGGAAUCAUUGGGCGUAAAGCGCGUGUAGGCGGUUCGAUAAGUCUGCUGUGAAAGUCCAAGGCUCAACCUUGGGAUGCCGGUGGAUACUGUCGGGCUAGAGUGCGGAAGAGGCGAGUGGAAUUCCCGGUGUAGCGGUGAAAUGCGCAGAUAUCGGGAGGAACACCAAUUGCGAAGGCAGCUCGCUGGGACGUAACUGACGCUGAGACGCGAAAGCGUGGGGAGCAAACAGG
RNAcentral lists this ribosomal RNA (253 nucleotides) under uncultured bacterium. RNAcentral's name for it is "partial 16S ribosomal RNA". It matches the Rfam family "Bacterial small subunit ribosomal RNA", at positions 524 to 776 of the family's 1533-position model. The record is from RNAcentral.